This 433-nucleotide ribosomal RNA is filed under the name uncultured bacterium. RNAcentral describes it as "partial 16S ribosomal RNA". It matches the Rfam family "Bacterial small subunit ribosomal RNA", at positions 29 to 507 of the family's 1533-position model. The record is from RNAcentral.
AACGAACGCUGGCGGCAUGCCUAACACAUGCAAGUCGAACGAGCCCUCCGGGUCUAGUGGCGCCCGGGUGCGUCACGCGUGGGAACCUUCCCUUAGGUUCGGCAUACCUCCCCGACAGGGGUGCUAAUACCGGAUCAUGUCUUCGGCCCAAAGAUUUAUCGACUUUGGUUGGGCCCUCGUUGGAUUCGCUAGUUGGUAGGGUAAAAGCCUACCAAGGCGACGAUCCAUAGAUGGUCAGUGAGGAUGAUCAGCCACACUGAGACUGAGACGCGGCCCAGACUCCUACGGGAGGCAGCAGUGGGGAAUAGUGGACAGUCGGCGAAGGCCUGAACCAGCAAUGCCGCGUGAGUGAUGAAGGCCUGAGGGUUGAAAAGCGCAUGUACCCAGGAUGAUAAUGACAGUACCGGGAGAAUAAGCGCCGGCUAACUCCGUG